Long non-coding RNA from Xenia sp. Carnegie-2017, 314 nucleotides. RefSeq lists it as uncharacterized. The record is from RefSeq and is a predicted model, not a curated record. Lineage: Eukaryota; Metazoa; Cnidaria; Anthozoa; Malacalcyonacea; Xeniidae. The transcript has 2 exons.
CUAUUGCAUUUAUUUUUAUUCAACUAUUCCUGAGAUUGACAAUAUGUGAUUAUAAGUGGCAUUUUCUAGAAACUAGAGGGUUAACAAAAAAAGAUGUACGUGUCGAUGUUGUAUGAGUUAAUGUUCAAAAAUUGAUCGCUGAAUCCGAGAACUAUUUUCUGCACUCGUCAAAAGCAGGGUAUUCUAGAUGCCUCCCAAUACGCCAAGAUAGUUCAGCACUUGAGCGUCGCAUUGUGUAAGGAGGCUCUCGCUCAUCACGAGAGAAUUAUAAGAAAGUUACAUUGUAAAAGGUAACAAGUAAAAAAGUAUAAACA